This 497-nucleotide ribosomal RNA is filed under the name uncultured bacterium. RNAcentral's name for it is "partial 16S ribosomal RNA". It matches the Rfam family "Bacterial small subunit ribosomal RNA", at positions 28 to 507 of the family's 1533-position model. The record is from RNAcentral.
GAUGAACGCUGGCGGCGUGCCUAAUACAUGCAAGUCGAGCGAACAGACGAGGAGCUUGCUCCUCUGACGUUAGCGGCGGACGGGUGAGUAACACGUGGAUAACCUACCUAUAAGACUGGGAUAACGUCGGGAAACCGGAGCUAAUACCGGAUAAUAUAUUGAACCGCAUGGUUCAAUAGUGAAAGACGGUUUUGCUGUCACUUAUAGAUGGAUCCGCGCCGCAUUAGCUAGUUGGUAAGGUAACGGCUUACCAAGGCAACGAUGCGUAGCCGACCUGAGAGGGUGAUCGGCCACACUGGAACUGAGACACGGUCCAGACUCCUACGGGAGGCAGCAGUAGGGAAUCUUCCGCAAUGGGCGAAAGCCUGACGGAGCAACGCCGCGUGAGUGAUGAAGGUCUUCGGAUCGUAAAACUCUGUUAUUAGGGAAGAACAAAUGUGUAAGUAACUAUGCACGUCUUGACGGUACCUACUCAGAAAGCCACGGCUAACUACGUG